This 444-nucleotide ribosomal RNA is filed under the name Triticum aestivum (bread wheat). Its description in RNAcentral is "partial small subunit ribosomal RNA". Lineage: Eukaryota; Viridiplantae; Streptophyta; Magnoliopsida; Poales; Poaceae. The record is from RNAcentral.
AUAGACCACCAGGUGUUCGUCCUGCGUCAGCACAUGGUCACCCACUCCGCACCGGAGGGGCCGGGCGCAGCGAGCCCUCUGCUGGUGGGGCGUGCUUUUGAGGAGCAGCUGCGCGUCCCACCGCACCUGUUUCGCAUCACGGCGCAUCACCCGGAGCACUUCUUCGUCUACUUCGAGCUCCCCGCGCUCUGUGACAACGCCGUGGCAAGGGGCUUCUUCAUGGUGGACGGAGUUCGCUUCAACAUCAACCCCUGGCAUGAAGACGACCAUGCGGCGCUGCUCAACCUCACCCUCCACGUGUGCAUCGUCAUCGAGAACCUCCCGAUGCACUUCUGGUCCUUGGAGGGGGCAGAGGAGGCGCUGGGGAAGAUGUGUCGCGUCAAUCGCCUCGACAGCAGGACGCACGAGCGUGACCACACCAAGCUCUUCGCCUGCUGGAUUUGG